RNAcentral lists this ribosomal RNA (49 nucleotides) under Amanita arenicola. RNAcentral's name for it is "partial 28S ribosomal RNA". Lineage: Eukaryota; Fungi; Basidiomycota; Agaricomycetes; Agaricales; Amanitaceae. The record is from RNAcentral.
UUGACCUCAAAUCAGGUAGGACUACCCGCUGAACUUAAGCAUAUCACUA